GUACAUUUUGCACUCAGCACAUAUGCUAAACUUGGAACGAUACAGAGACUAUUAGCAUGGCCCCCAUGAAAGGAUGACACAUUUAUGAAGCAUUGCAUUAAAUAAAU
Small nuclear RNA from Erinaceus europaeus (western European hedgehog), 107 nucleotides. Lineage: Eukaryota; Metazoa; Chordata; Mammalia; Eulipotyphla; Erinaceidae. The record is from Ensembl.